CCCUUAGAUGUUCUGGGCCGCACGCGCGCUACACUGAUGCAUUCAACGAGUCUAAAACCUGGUCUGAGAGGGCUGGGUAAUCUUUUGAAAGUGCAUCGUGAUUGGGAUAGAUGAUUGCAAUUCUUCAUCUUCAACGAGGAAUGCCUAGUAAACGCAAGUCAUCAGCUUGCAUUGAUUACGUCCCUGCCCUUUGUACACACCGCCCGUCGCUCCUACCGAUUGAACGAUCCGAUGAAAACUGUGGAUUGAGAGUCUGAGUGGGUUCGCCUACCUCAACUUUCGAGAAGCGGUUUAAAUCUUAUCAUUUAGAGGAAGGAGAAGUCGUAACA
RNAcentral lists this ribosomal RNA (329 nucleotides) under uncultured eukaryote. Its description in RNAcentral is "partial 18S ribosomal RNA". It matches the Rfam family "Eukaryotic small subunit ribosomal RNA", at positions 1470 to 1796 of the family's 1831-position model. The record is from RNAcentral.